Molecule: ribosomal RNA, 372 nt
Filed under: Tubifex tubifex (sludge worm)
Lineage: Eukaryota; Metazoa; Annelida; Clitellata; Tubificida; Naididae
Description: partial 16S ribosomal RNA
Rfam family: Bacterial large subunit ribosomal RNA
Source: RNAcentral
UCCUGACCGUGCAAAGGUAGCAUAAUCACUUGCCUAUUAAUUGUAGGCUAGAAUGAAAGGACAAACGAGAAUACACCUGUCUCCUUUAAGCCCAUAAAAAUUUAUCUUUAAGUGAAGAAGCUUAAAUAAACGUGCAGGACAAGAAGACCCUAUAGAGCUUUACCUAAAAGCUACAUAAAUAGUAACUGGCGGUUCGGUUGGGGCGACCAGGGGAUAUUUAUCACCCCUAAAACAUAAGAUAUACUAAUCCCACUAAAGAUCCUUUUUCAAGAUCAAAGAAUCAAGCUACCUUAGGGAUAACAGGCUAAUCCUCUUAGAGAGCCCUUAUCGACAAGAGGGGUUGGCACCUCGAUGUUGGCUUAGGACGUCUCC